CAAAAAGACGAAGAAUAAUUAUGUAAUUUGAUGUGGAUACAAUGGACAGAAUUACGAGAAUGGAAUUGUAAUGAGAGAAGACCGAAAAGACCACUGGUAGCGUUUAUUGAGCGAGUGGCUGGGAAUUGGGCCGAAGUCACAGAAGAAGAAACACAUAUAGGCACUACAAUGGUCGACUUUGAUCGGCCGCUCCUCCUUCCGCCAUCUUUCCUCAGUCAUCCCCCGGUGCAUGAUGGGGAGGCAGGGGGGCCGCUUCAGGGGCACGUAGUGAGUGUCAACGCGGUGACGUAAUGGAUGUCAGCCAAUCACAAGACGGCAACGACAGUGACGUAAAAAGGCAAAAAUAUAGCCGAAGGUUGUCAUUCUUUUUUAAAAGUUGUGACGAACUAGCAUGUUUUUUUAAAUCUAGUGUUGUUGUUUUUUUACAAUUAAAAUAAGCACUCAUUUCUUAUUUACUUUUUAAUUUAUGAUUUUGUAAUAAAAAAAAUGUAAAUGUUGAUACGAAUACUUAAAAAUAAAACGAA
This is a long non-coding RNA of Nerophis lumbriciformis (worm pipefish), 524 nucleotides long. RefSeq lists it as uncharacterized. The record is from RefSeq and is a predicted model, not a curated record. NCBI's taxonomy places the organism in Eukaryota, Metazoa, Chordata, Actinopteri, Syngnathiformes, Syngnathidae.